RNAcentral lists this ribosomal RNA (901 nucleotides) under uncultured bacterium. Its description in RNAcentral is "bacterial SSU rRNA". It matches the Rfam family "Bacterial small subunit ribosomal RNA", at positions 28 to 943 of the family's 1533-position model. The record is from RNAcentral.
GAUGAACGCUAGCGGCAGGCCUAAUACAUGCAAGUCGAACGGUUGUAGUGAUACAAUAGUGGCGCACGGGUGCGUAACACGUAUGCAACCUACCUUAUAGACGGGGAUCGCCUUUGGAAACGGAGAUUAAUACCCGAUAGUAACCUUGAUUGGCAUCAAUUAAUGUUUAAAGAUUUAUCGCUAUAAGCUGGGCAUGCGUCCAAUUAGUUAGUUGGUUAGGUAAUGGCUGACCAAGACGAUGAUUGGUAGGGGAACUGAGAGGUUAAUCCCCCACACUGGCACUGAGAUACGGGCCAGACUCCUACGGGAGGCAGCAGUAGGGAAUAUUGGGCAAUGGAGGCAACUCUGACCCAGCCAUGCCGCGUGCAGGAUGAAGGCGUUAUGCGUUGUAAACUGCUUUUAUAUAGGAAGAAAUAGACCUUGCGAGGUAAGUUGACGGUACUAUAUGAAUAAGCACCGGCUAACUCCGUGCCAGCAGCCGCGGUAAUACGGAGGGUGCAAGCGUUGUCCGGAUUUAUUGGGUUUAAAGGGUGCGUAGGCGGUUUAUUAAGUCAGUGGUGAAAGACGGUCGCUCAACGAUUGCAGUGCCAUUGAUACUGGUAGACUUGAGUGAGAUUGAGGUAGCUGGAAUGGAUAGUGUAGCGGUGAAAUGCAUAGAUAUUAUCCAGAACACCAAUUGCGUAGGCAAGUUACUAAGUCUCAACUGACGCUGAGGCACGAAAGUGGUGGGUUAUCAAACAGGAUUAGAUACCCUGGUAGUCCACACUGUAAACGAUGAUACUAACUGUUGGCUUUCGGGUCAGUGGUACNAGGAAUCGUUAAGUUAUCCACCUGGGGGAGUACGCCGGCAACGGUGAACUCAAAGGAAUGACGGGGGUCCGCCACAGCGGUGGAGCAUGUG